Molecule: ribosomal RNA, 253 nt
Filed under: uncultured bacterium
Lineage: Bacteria
Description: partial 16S ribosomal RNA
Rfam family: Bacterial small subunit ribosomal RNA
Source: RNAcentral
UACGUAGGGGGCAAGCGUUGUUCGGAAUUACUGGGCGUAAAGGGCGCGUAGGCGGCACGGCAAGUCAGGAGUGAAAGCCCUGGGCUCAACCCGGGAACUGCUUUUGAAACUGCCGAGCUAGAGUGCGGAAGGGGCAACUGGAAUUCCCAGUGUAGCGGUGAGAUGCGUAGAUAUUGGGAAGAACACCUGAGGCGAAGGCGGGUUGCUGGGCCGACACUGACGCUGAGGCGCGAAAGCCAGGGGAGCAAACGGG